RNAcentral lists this ribosomal RNA (702 nucleotides) under uncultured Lachnospiraceae bacterium. RNAcentral describes it as "bacterial SSU rRNA". It matches the Rfam family "Bacterial small subunit ribosomal RNA", at positions 56 to 758 of the family's 1533-position model. The record is from RNAcentral. Lineage: Bacteria; Bacillati; Bacillota; Clostridia; Lachnospirales; Lachnospiraceae.
UGCAAGUCGAGCGAAGCGGUUUCAAUGAAGUUUUCGGAUGGAUUUGAGAUUGACUUAGCGGCGGACGGGUGAGUAACGCGUGGGUAACCUGCCUUACACUGGGGGAUAACAGUUAGAAAUGACUGCUAAUACCGCAUAAGCGCACAGGGCCGCAUGGUCUGGUGUGAAAAACUCCGGUGGUGUAAGAUGGACCCGCGUCUGAUUAGGUAGUUGGUGGGGUAACGGCCCACCAAGCCGACGAUCAGUAGCCGACCUGAGAGGGUGACCGGCCACAUUGGGACUGAGACACGGCCCAAACUCCUACGGGAGGCAGCAGUGGGGAAUAUUGGACAAUGGGCGAAAGCCUGAUCCAGCGACGCCGCGUGAGUGAAGAAGUAUUUCGGUAUGUAAAGCUCUAUCAGCAGGGAAGAAAAUGACGGUACCUGACUAAGAAGCCCCGGCUAACUACGUGCCAGCAGCCGCGGUAAUACGUAGGGGGCAAGCGUUAUCCGGAUUUACUGGGUGUAAAGGGAGCGUAGACGGUUAAGCAAGUCUGAAGUGAAAGCCCGGGGCUCAACCCCGGUACUGCUUUGGAAACUGUUUGACUUGAGUGCAGGAGAGGUAAGUGGAAUUCCUAGUGUAGCGGUGAAAUGCGUAGAUAUUAGGAGGAACACCAGUGGCGAAGGCGGCUUACUGGACUGUAACUGACGUUGAGGCUCGAAA